GGUUGGUGUUUUCGAAUGUUGCUCUGUUUAAAGUCCAUUCUUGAAUAUGGCUAAUAGUUUGGCCCAGAGAGGGUGAAAGGCCCGUGUGGACAGAGCGAUGUUUGACUGUGCUAACCAUGGAGUCGGGUUGUUUGAGAAUGCAGCCCAAAGUUGGUGGUAAACUCCAUCUAAGGCUAAAUACUGGCACGAGUCCGAUAGCGAACAAGUACCGUGAGGGAAAGUUGAAAAGUACUCUGAAGAGAGAGUUAACAGUGCGUGAAACCGCUUAGAAGCAAACGGGUGUAGUCAAGCUGCAAGCCUUAAGAAAUAGGUUGGUCAGAAUGGCGUGAGUCUGAGCAUACAGAGCUGCCAGGUAGGUCCGACUAUAUGUCGGGUUCGGCUCGCAAGAGUCGGAUUUGUGGAGCGUUUACGCGCUGCAUGCCUGCUUGUCAGUUGCUCUACUGGCCCUCUCAAUUUCUUUUGGCGUAUGUCACGACCGUCUUCGCUGUCGGUCUGCUCCAUUUAAACCGUUUCGUGAGUAGUUUCGUGCUGCUUGCGUUCUGGGGGCAGGUAGCUGAUCUAGUCUCGGCUGGAUUGGUGUAAUUGCUGAGUGGAGUGGUACCUGUAACUGUGCAGUAAGAUGGGGCUGGCGGUGCAUUGUUGCCGGGCGUGCGUGUGUUAUCGUGGUUGGCGUAUGGCUAUCUGUUGCUGUUAAUA
This 696-nucleotide ribosomal RNA is filed under the name Microcotylidae sp. M11. Its description in RNAcentral is "eukaryotic LSU rRNA". It matches the Rfam family "Eukaryotic large subunit ribosomal RNA", at positions 151 to 621 of the family's 3401-position model. Lineage: Eukaryota; Metazoa; Platyhelminthes; Monogenea; Mazocraeidea; Microcotylidae. The record is from RNAcentral.